RNAcentral lists this transfer RNA (91 nucleotides) under Sphingomonas glacialis. RNAcentral's name for it is "tRNA-Leu". Lineage: Bacteria; Pseudomonadati; Pseudomonadota; Alphaproteobacteria; Sphingomonadales; Sphingomonadaceae. The record is from RNAcentral.
CUCGGCGUGGCCCUGCGGAUCUACGCUGGCGCCCUCAAGCGGCGCGGCUGAGCGCUCGGCCUGCGCCAGCCGUUCGAUCGACCAGUCGGGC